CCUACGGGAGGCAGCAGUGAGGAAUAUUGGUCAAUGGACGAGAGUCUGAACCAGCCAAGUAGCGUGAAGGAUGACUGCCCUACGGGUUGUAAACUUCUUUUAUAUGGGAAUAAAAUGUUCCACGUGUGGGAUUUUGUAUGUACCAUAUGAAUAAGGAUCGGCUAACUCCGUGCCAGCAGCCGCGGUAAUACGGAGGAUCCGAGCGUUAUCCGGAUUUAUUGGGUUUAAAGGGAGCGUAGGUGGAUUGUUAAGUCAGUUGUGAAAGUUUGCGGCUCAACCGUAAAAUUGCAGUUGAAACUGGCAGUCUUGAGUACAGUAGAGGUGGGCGGAAUUCGUGGUGUAGCGGUGAAAUGCUUAGAUAUCACGAAGAACUCCGAUUGCGAAGGCAGUUCACUGGACUGCAACUGACACUGAGGCUCGAAAGUGUGGGUAUCAAACAGGAUUAGAUACCCCUGUAGUC
RNAcentral lists this ribosomal RNA (460 nucleotides) under uncultured bacterium. RNAcentral's name for it is "partial 16S ribosomal RNA". It matches the Rfam family "Bacterial small subunit ribosomal RNA", at positions 338 to 795 of the family's 1533-position model. The record is from RNAcentral.